UUGGGCUAUGGCCAAGCGGUAAGGCAACAGGUUUUGAUCCUGUCAUGCGCUGGUUCGAAUCCAGCUAGCUCAAUCCA
This 77-nucleotide transfer RNA is filed under the name Latilactobacillus curvatus. Its description in RNAcentral is "Lactobacillus curvatus tRNA-Gln". It matches the Rfam family "tRNA". Rfam says of the family: Transfer RNA (tRNA) molecules are approximately 80 nucleotides in length. The record is from RNAcentral. Lineage: Bacteria; Bacillati; Bacillota; Bacilli; Lactobacillales; Lactobacillaceae.